UGGUAAUAAGCCUUUCUUAUGUUUACUAAAAACGCUUCAAUUAUAGAAUGUUUACUGUGUAUAACACAAUUAUAUACAACUUUCAGCAACGGAUCUCUUGGCUCUCGCAUCGAUGAAAAACGCACCGAAAUGCGAUAAGUAAUGUGAAUUGCAGAAUUCAGUGAAUCAUCGAAUCUUUGAACGCACCUUGCACUCCUUGGUAUUCCGAGGAGUAUGCCUGUUUGAGUCUCAUGGAAUUCUCAACCCCUAAAUUUUGUAAUGAAGUUUAGUGGGCUUGGACUUGGAGGGUUGUGUCGGCUUCUAGUCGACUCCUCUGAAAUGUAUUAGCGUGAAUCUUACGGAUCGCCUUCAGUGUGAUAAUUAUCUGCGCUGUGGUGUUGAAGUAUUUAUUAGUUUCAUGCUUAUAAUCGUCUCUUACCGAGACAAUUUAUGACAAUCUGAGCUCAAAUCAGGUAGGACUA
This 461-nucleotide ribosomal RNA is filed under the name Irpex laceratus. RNAcentral's name for it is "eukaryotic LSU rRNA". The stretch from base 78 to 231 matches the Rfam family "5.8S ribosomal RNA". Lineage: Eukaryota; Fungi; Basidiomycota; Agaricomycetes; Polyporales; Irpicaceae. The record is from RNAcentral.